AAUUUUCCCAAAAUUUCCCGCGCUAAAACCCUUAAUUUUUUCCUCUAAAAUCAGUAUCCUCCAAACACCCCCAAUCUCACCCCUCUGUUGCCCUUUUCAAUAAAGAAACUCUCCAACAACAGCGUCUCCAAGCUCUUAUCGAAGGUGCCCACGAUUACUCUGGCUCCGUUGUACUUGAAUGGGGCGAUUGGUAUUACACGGGUGAAGAGGAUAAAGGAAAAAGGAAGUUGAAAACUUUGUCUGCAGUUGCGAAGUAAUUCCUUGUGGAAAGAAGGAAUUUAUUGCAGAACUUCAUUCAGUAUUCUAUACACAGAUCUUCAAAAUCUGAGAGAAGAAAUUCAAUCCAAAAAAAGAAAAAAACCCCAAAAGGUGAGGAUUAAUGGGAGUUGGGAGUUGAUUUUUAUUAAUUUUUUCAAGUAAAAAAAAGAUGAAUUCACAAAAUCAAGUGGAGUCAACUCUGAAGGAAAUACUCGAAGUGGUCAAGCCGUUGCAUGAAGACUGGGUUACUCGGUUUAAGAUCAUCAAUGAACUGCAUGAAGUCAUUCAAUCUAUCGAAAAUUUAAGAGCUUCCGUGGUGGGCUCUUAUCCUGCUUUGUCUUUCAAAGCGAGUUCACUCAAUAUUUGUGCUUCGUCUGUUUAAUGACUGUUUCGCAAUGACACUCCUCCAUGCUGCAAUGGGAUCUAUUCUUUUUGGAUGGUGGCAUUUGGGGUUGAUUAUUUUUAGGUACUAUGCUUAUUUUAUCAGUAGCUUUUUCCCCUUCUAAGAAGGAAAAGAAAAGAAGUGGAUCCUACUUUGCCUCUUUUUUUAUGUGUAGUGCUGCCCUAUCGAUAAAGAUGAAUGUCCUACUCUAUGCUCCAUCUCUUUUUAUACUCAUGCUAAAGGCUAUGAGUAUCAGUGGGGUAAUAUCAGCUUUAGCUGGUGCGGCACUUGUGCAGGUGAGUUGGACUACUACACUUAAUGUUUGUAGCAGGGGACAUUGCCUGCCAGUGUGUUGAUUCUUUUCUACAUACUCGGUAAAGGGUUCUGCAGAUUGUGCUGGGGCUGCCAUUUUUAUUAUCAUUUCUAGUUGAAUAUAUAUCACGAGCCUUUAAUCUUGGACGUGUCUUCAUCCACUUCUGGUCUUUCAACUUCAAGUUUGUUCCCGGAACCUUUCAAUUUUCAAUGUUGUUUAGGUUCGCAAACAAGAUACUGUAUUUGGACUUGCUGUUAGUAAAAGACUUGCUGUAUUUUAUUUAUAUCUUUAUAUUUAAUCUAAUUUUUAUUAUUUAUUUUA
Molecule: long non-coding RNA, 1274 nt
Organism: Gossypium arboreum
Lineage: Eukaryota; Viridiplantae; Streptophyta; Magnoliopsida; Malvales; Malvaceae
Exons: 7
Source: RefSeq, a predicted model, not a curated record